RNAcentral lists this ribosomal RNA (666 nucleotides) under Triticum aestivum (bread wheat). Its description in RNAcentral is "partial small subunit ribosomal RNA". Lineage: Eukaryota; Viridiplantae; Streptophyta; Magnoliopsida; Poales; Poaceae. The record is from RNAcentral.
AUGGUGAAUUCCUGGGUAAUUUAUGAUGAACCAGACCAGGUUGUGUGGAACCUUGGAAAAAACAAGCACUUUACAACCAAAUCUAUGUAUAAUCAUCUGGAAAGCCGCCUCGCUGGGUGUGAUUAUAGGUGGAUUUGGAAAGCUAAGCUACCUCUCAAGAUCCAAAUUUUCCUUUGGCAAUUGUUUCAAGAUGCGGCGUUGACACGAGAUGUCAUGAAAAGAUGCAAAUGGGAUGGUAACCCGAAGUGUUCCUUCUGUCAGAGCAGGGAAACUUCUCAACACCUCUUCUUCACCUGUCCAGUUGCAAGGGUGGUUUGGAGAACGGUUGGCUGUGUGUUUGGCACAGAUUUGUGCCCUGAUAACCUAUGGCAAUAUUUCUCUUGGUGCUAUACCUUUUUACCUGAUGGUGCUAGAUUCUAUACCGUCGGCUUGGCUGCGAUUUGCUGGGCCAUGUGGAUCUGUCGUAACAGGGCCACUUUCGAAUGCAAAAAAUUGAGAACUCCUUUUGAUGUGGUUUUCUCUGCAUGUGGUUACAUGAACUAUUGGGCAGGUAUGAUGGAGGGAGCUGAUCAUGAGGCGAUGGAGCGCGGCGCUAAGAUGCUCAAGACCAACGCAGCUGCCAUGAUGAGGAUUUGCGCGGCCCCAGCUGGAACAACAAUGGACUGA